ACUCCUGCGGGAGGCAGCAGUGGGGAAUAUUGCACAAUGGGCGCAAGCCUGAUGCAGCCAUGCCGCGUGUAUGAAGAAGGCCUUCGGGUUGUAAAGUACUUUCAGCGGGGAGGAAGGCGAUAAGGUUAAUAACCUUGUUGAUUGACGUUACCCGCAGAAGAAGCACCGGCUAACUCCGUGCCAGCAGCCGCGGUAAUACGGAGGGUGCAAGCGUUAAUCGGAAUUACUGGGCGUAAAGCGCACGCAGGCGGUCUGUCAAGUCGGAUGUGAAAUCCCCGGGCUCAACCUGGGAACUGCAUUCGAAACUGGCAGGCUAGAGUCUUGUAGAGGGGGGUAGAAUUCCAGGUGGAGCGGUGAAAUGCGUAGAGAUCUGGAGGAAUACCGGUGGCGAAGGCGGCCCCCUGGACAAAGACUGACGCUCAGGUGCGAAAGCGUGGGGAGCAAACAGGAUUAGAUACCCCAGUAGUCCC
RNAcentral lists this ribosomal RNA (470 nucleotides) under uncultured organism. RNAcentral describes it as "partial 16S ribosomal RNA". It matches the Rfam family "Bacterial small subunit ribosomal RNA", at positions 335 to 797 of the family's 1533-position model. The record is from RNAcentral.